CAGAGCUUCCAGGGCUUGGGUGCUCACUCACACAGUGCUACUGGGGCUUCCUCAGUUGCUUUAGGAGUGGCUCUUGGUGCACCCCUGGGGACACCUCCUGUGUCCUUGGUUAAGACAUAAAAGGCUUAUUGGUUUUGAUUCCUCACUUGUUGCGUGCUUUGGGUUUGGAAAGAAAUGAAAUGGAAAGAAAAGGAGGUCCAAAGAAGUUAUUUGAAGGUUUCCUUGUAUAUUGCUUAUUUGUGGUGCUGGUGAUGGAACCCAGGCCCUUACUCUUGCUAGGGUUCCUGGCCUUGCAGUAAGCAAAGAAUUUCAUUUCCUGACCGGCCCUGGGAACUUCAAGUUAUUCAGGGACUGUGAGAAGAGAGGGAUUUAUCCAGUUCUACAGGUGUAAUAAGCACUGUCUGACAGCAAGUCCCUGGCUUCCUAACCUGGAAAUGCUUCCAGUCUGAGACUCCUAUGGAAAUUUCUAGCAAUUCAAAUGUAUUAUUUUUUUUUUCUUUUUUAAAAUAAUUUUAACUGGUAUACAAAAUAUAAAAGUUGUACAUAUUAAUGGGGUACCAUGUAAAGCUGGAUAUGUGUAUAUAUUAUAUAAUGUUUAAAUCAGUUUAAAUAUUUUUAUCUCCUCAAAUAUUUGUCACUUUUUUAUGGCAAACACUUUUAAAAUUCUCUUUUCUAGCCUCUUGAAAUAAACAGUACAUAAUUGUUAUCUGUAGUCACCAAACUAUGCAGUAGCAAGUUAAAACUUCUUAUGUUUCAAAAGAAAAUUAUAAUGCACUUCUAAUCAGACUCUACCCAUUGUGUUGAGGUUUUAUUAUCUACUUGCAAUCUGGGCUAGACCCUAAUUCUUGUGGUUUCUUCUGGUAUCUAAUAUUUGCAAUUUUCUUCCAACCUCUGGCUUAGAAUUGGUGAGGUUAAAAUCAUCCUUUCACGAUGCCCUACAAGUUGAAGGUGGUCAAUUUGAUUCACACUUCAGAGAAAUCACCACAACCCUUUGUGUCUUCAUGCACCACUGAGAAAGUUCACUGGAACACCUCAUGCAAACUGUAAACCAGAAAAAUCUGUCAGAUUGCUGCUAAAGAUGCUUCAAGUCAAAAUCUAGAAAUCUUCUCCACUGGCUGACUCAAAAAUUGAGUUAAAAGUUUGUUCCAAUUAUUGUUGUUUGUUUUCUUUUGUCACCAUAGAAAUGUCUCUUUUUAAAUGCCUGAUUGCUCAGAUCCUACAGAGGCAUAAACCAGGCAGGAGCCCGUUAAUAACACCACAGCCUGAAAUGCUUUGUGGCUGUUAACUGUGUAACAGGACUGGCCUGAGUUCAGGACUCAGAGACGGGUUGGGUGGCUUAGGAGACAAUCCAACUAUGCAACUGUGAAACUUAUUGGGGAAAUUUCAGACCAGAAAAGGUUUAGGCUUGGAAAAUGACACCCCAAAGUGAAGGCCUCAAAGUAAAAUUUCUCCUCCCCUUCCUCCUAACCUUUUGUCCCUCACCCCUUGUCCUUCCCCAAGGCAAGUCAUAGGAACCAGAACCUUUUCAUUCCAAAGCCAGCCAUAAAACCUAAAAAUUUUUAGUCCUGACUUUUCCUGUAAGAGUUGGCCGUAAAGGAGGCCCUCAUUCCAGAGAGGUCCUGCCCACCACACCAAGGUAAGAAAUGCUGUAACCAAGGAACCAAAAAGAAUAUGAACAGGCCUUGCCAGGUUUCCCCUCAGUCAAUAUCCAUCAGCUCAGACUCUCCAAUCACAUUUCUACUUGACUCUUCUACUUCAUGAAAUCCGAGCCAAAAAAUAGACAAUUCCCCCUGGGGCUUUGGGUCUGCAAUCUGAAGGUUCGUGUAUCACAUAAAACUAUGAUCAAAUAAAUUUGCUGUGUUCC
This is a long non-coding RNA of Sciurus carolinensis (gray squirrel), 1864 nucleotides long. RefSeq lists it as uncharacterized. NCBI's taxonomy places the organism in Eukaryota, Metazoa, Chordata, Mammalia, Rodentia, Sciuridae. The record is from RefSeq and is a predicted model, not a curated record. The transcript has 2 exons.